UUGACGGGGACCCGCACAGCGGUGGAUGAUGUGGAUUAAUUCGAUGCAACGCGAAGAACCUUACUACCCUUGACAUGUCCAGAACUUGCCAGAGAUGGCUUGGUGCCCGAAAGGGAACCGGAACACAGGUGCUGCAUGGCUGUCGUCAGCUCGUGUCGUGAGAUGUUGGGUUAAGUCCCGCAACGAGCGCAACCCUUGUCCUUAGUUGCUACGCAAGAGCACUCUAAGGAGACUGCCGGUGACAAACCGGAGGAAGUGGGGAUGACGUCAAGUCCUCAUGGCCCUUAUGGGUAGGGCUUCACACGUCAUACAAUGGUCGGUACAGAGGGUUGCCAAGCCGCGAGGUGGAGCCAAUCCCACAAAGCCGAUCGUAGUCCGGAUUGUUCUCUGCAACUCGAGAGCAUGAAGUCGGAAUCGCUAGUAAUCGCAGGUCAGCAUACUGCGGUGAAUACGUUCCCGGGUCUU
This 465-nucleotide ribosomal RNA is filed under the name uncultured Thiobacillus sp. RNAcentral describes it as "bacterial SSU rRNA". It matches the Rfam family "Bacterial small subunit ribosomal RNA", at positions 910 to 1382 of the family's 1533-position model. The record is from RNAcentral. Lineage: Bacteria; Pseudomonadati; Pseudomonadota; Betaproteobacteria; Nitrosomonadales; Thiobacillaceae.